GCUUCUUUUAGCCUUCCCUAAUUCAAC
RNAcentral lists this non-coding RNA (27 nucleotides) under Mus musculus (house mouse). Lineage: Eukaryota; Metazoa; Chordata; Mammalia; Rodentia; Muridae. The record is from RNAcentral.